Molecule: ribosomal RNA, 429 nt
Filed under: Acidobacteriota bacterium
Lineage: Bacteria; Pseudomonadati; Acidobacteriota
Description: Acidobacteria bacterium partial 16S ribosomal RNA
Rfam family: Bacterial small subunit ribosomal RNA
Source: RNAcentral
UGGGGAAUUUUGGACAAUGGGGGAAACCCUGAUUCAGCCAUCCCGCGUGUGCGAUGAAGGCCUUCGGGUUGUAAAGCACUUUUGGCAGGAAAGAAACGUCAUGGGUUAAUACCCCGUGAAACUGACGGUACCUGCAGAAUAAGCACCGGCUAACUACGUGCCAGCAGCCGCGGUAAUACGUAGGGUGCAAGCGUUAAUCGGAAUUACUGGGCGUAAAGCGUGCGCAGGCGGUUCGGAAAGAAAGAUGUGAAAUCCCAGAGCUCAACGUUGGAACUGCAUUUUUAACUACCGGGCUAGAGUGUGUCAGAGGGAGGUGGAAUUCCGCGUGUAGCAGUGAAAUGCGUAGAUAUGCGGAGGAACACCGAUGGCGAAGGCAGCCUCCUGGGAUAACACUGACGCUCAUGCACGAAAGCGUGGGGAGCAAACAGG